Long non-coding RNA from Eufriesea mexicana, 669 nucleotides. RefSeq lists it as uncharacterized. NCBI's taxonomy places the organism in Eukaryota, Metazoa, Arthropoda, Insecta, Hymenoptera, Apidae. The record is from RefSeq and is a predicted model, not a curated record. The transcript has 3 exons.
CGAAGAGACAAGCUUUGGCUAGCUAGGGAAACGAAGCCAUGCAGCUUACACAAACACUCUUGCAUUUUGAGCACGAUAUCAUGUGAAGGCUUGUUAUCAUCCUUAAUGUCUCUUGUGUAAUACUGCUCGAAGAUCUUCCGUUCGAUGGAAAGCUGAUGAACUUGAUUAUCCUUUGCGAUGAAGGUUUAUGAUGAAAAACAGAUAAAUAAAGAGCUUUAAUUUGAUCUACGAACUAAACUGGAAUACCCAAGUAUCAUUAAAUCUACCCGAUACCUAGAAAUCUGUACAAAAAUCGAAAUACAAUUAAAACUACAUUAAGCAGCCGUCACCUUCAGCUUGGCAAGUCCUGGACAUCGAUUCGAUCGCGGUUCCCCGGCCAGGAGAGAAAGCGGAUCAACGCGGGUCAGAGUAAUAAUUCGUGCGGAGAACAUCGGAAACGGUCGGAACGUCUGAAUCGCAUAUCCGGCCGAAAUGGCCGGAUACGAAUUGAGUGUCAGCUCUGGGAAUCCGGCCGGUCGAUCGGUCGAUUAUACACGCCGUAAUAGACCGUCACGCAACUAUGAGAAUCCGUUGUGUACUGGCUGGCUUCGAGCUGCCUCGAGAUGUGUCGAACCAGAAGCUUCCACGCCACGCGCCACGCUUCAGGAUUUGCGAGUGGACACGUGUACG